RNAcentral lists this unclassified non-coding RNA (695 nucleotides) under Borreliella bissettiae. Its description in RNAcentral is "Borreliella bissettii partial 16S-23S ribosomal RNA intergenic spacer". The stretch from base 1 to 471 matches the Rfam family "Bacterial small subunit ribosomal RNA", at positions 1064 to 1533 of the family's 1533-position model. The record is from RNAcentral. Lineage: Bacteria; Pseudomonadati; Spirochaetota; Spirochaetia; Spirochaetales; Borreliaceae.
GGCGUGAUGUUUGGGGGGCAAGUCUUGUAGCGAGCCACAACUCUUGUUAUCGUUACCACUAUGUAAUGAUAGGGAUUUGUAUAAGAUUUUGGCUAUAAAUCGGGAGGGUAAGGCUUGUGUUUAAGUUAUUGCUCUUAUGUUCUACGCACGUGUUUACAAUAUUCCUGUACAAAUCGAAGAGAAACAGUGAUUUGAAGCAAAAGCUUAAAGCGGGUUUCAGCAUGGACUGCAUUUUGAAACUCGACUUCAUGAAGUUGUAAUCGCUAGUAAUCGUAUAUUGGAAUGAUACGAUGAGUACGUUCUCAGGCANUUGUACACCGCUUGCCCGUUACAUCGUCCGAGUAUGGGGAUGGUNCUCCGAAGUAUUAUCCUAACCCGUAAGGGAGAAGGUAUUUAAGGUCCGUUUGNCGUUUGGGGUGAAGUCGUAACAAGAAGCUCGUACUUUCCAGUAUGGCUUGGAUUAGCCUCUUUUAAAUAGAAAGAUAAAUUAAGGCUAAUUUUAUUGAUUAUUCUUUUUGCUUUUAUUUUUAUGAAAAAGUUUUUGAAGUUGAGGUAAAUUUUUAGUUUAAAAUUUAGAAAAAAUAAACUUUUAGUAGGUGUUUGGUAGUAUUCAGCUUCAGCUUUAAUUAAGCUUUGUUUAAUAGUAGGUACAAUUUUAGAUUUUAGGAUUUUUACAUUAUUAACUAUGGCUUAAA